AGAAAGAUAGAGAAAUCAGAAUUAAAAGAGCAGAACAGAAAAGGGAGAGAGCGUGAAAGCAAGAAGGAGAGGAGAAAAGAGAAGAAAACCUAGACUUUGAUCUUCAAGAGGUACGGAGGACAGUGGAGCUUCUCGCGAGGGUUAGUCAGAGGAGCUAGUCUUUUAGAUAUGCUUUUAGUGAUGGGAGUCAUGCUCUAUUAUGUAACACCGGGGAAACGCUUAGUUUGAACCUUGAUGUUAGGAGUUAUUUUGUGAACUCUCUUUAUUUAUUUUUGGAAUUAUGUUUUAGUUUGGGAUUGAAAAAUAAAUCC
Lotus japonicus is the source of this 311-nucleotide long non-coding RNA. RefSeq lists it as uncharacterized. Lineage: Eukaryota; Viridiplantae; Streptophyta; Magnoliopsida; Fabales; Fabaceae. The transcript has 2 exons. The record is from RefSeq and is a predicted model, not a curated record.